AUGCACAGGCUUUGCUGUGAUUUACGAUCUCAGGUGUGUCUGUGGUGGACAGCGUACAGCAGUGUCUUCCUUUUUCUGGUCAGCUCUGACAGCCUCCAUGUUUUAACUGAUCAGAUAAACACUGCCCAUCACUUCUGUGGCGACAGGAACACCCUGUACCUGUGCCCUUCUGAAGCCUGUGGCGCUGCUAGACUAGAAGUGGGGGACGAAAUCCCUGCCCCCACCCCCACCCCUCACCCCCCAGAAUGUUUAACUUUAAAGUCAACAGCAAAUUUCAGUAUCACGUGUGACUCGUGGCUGCUGUGCACAAUUCAAGUGUCAUGUGUGAGCAGUGUCGUGCGACUCGUGGCUGCUGUGUGUAAUUUGGUGCUUGCUUGCUGUUCAGUCACUAAGUCGUAUCCGACUCUUUGUGACCCCCACGGACUGCAGCACGCCAGGCUCCUGUCUUCCACUAUCUCUUGGGAGUUUGCUCAGAUUCAUGUCCAUUGAGUCGGUGAUGCCAUCCAACCAUCUCAUCCUCUGCUGCCCCCCUUCUCCUCCUGCCUUCAAUCUUUGCCAGCAUCAGAGUCUUUUCCAGUGAGUCAGCUCUUCGUAUCAGGUGGCCAAAGUAUUGGAGCUUCAACUUGAGCAUCAGUGAGUAUUCAGGGUUGAUUUCCUGUAGGAUUGACUGGUUUGAUCUCAUUGCUGUCCAAGGGACUCUCAAGAGUCUUGAUGUAGAAAUUCUGGAUUCUAAUUACCUUUCUCUAAAAAUAAUAAUUUUUAAACAGGCAGUUAACUUAGGUGAACUCAACUGUAAAAUUAUCCUCCCUACAUCAAGAAGUGGCUCAAGUUUUAGUCUCGUUCUUUCAGCCUUAGAGGUGCACGCACGGCUCAGGGCUCAGCCCUAGACCUGAGGAGUUUACAUAGAGAACCUGGGAAUCCCCUCUCCGGCUCUUCCGUCAGUCGGUGCUCUGGAUCUCCAAGCCACAAAGACUGCACAUUUUCCAUGGGAGGUUUACCUGCCUUGUGUGGUGCAGACUACGACCUGACUUCAGGCCAGAAGCGGUGGGAAGAGAGGAAGUUCUCCCUGGAGAGCGCCGUUCUUGCAGCUGCUGACCCCCUUCUUUUAACUGCUGUUGGUCACUUUCAGUCGCUGGAUGGUUUAAGCUUCACACCACAACUUCUAUUUUUACUUCUGAGAGAGUGGGUUCAGUAGGAGCUAUUUCAUCCUACCAGAGACCUGAACUUAUCUGGUCUCCCUUCACAACAUUUGAUAAGGAAACUUCAAACAUGUACCAAGGUUUAAAGAAUUUUAGAGCAGCAAUCUAAACUGGGCACAUUUUCCUAUAUUUUACAUAUCUAUUCAUCCUUUAAUACAUCUUAUUUUAAAGCAUUUCAAAAUAAACUGCGAUCAAUACACUUGCCCUCAAGUACUUUAGAGUUUAUAUAUAGAGUUUAACAACUUUUUUUUUGAUGUAGAAUUUUCACACAGUGUACAUAUCUGAACUUGUGCAUUUGAGUUUUUAAAAAGCAGCUUUACUGGGUUAUAAUUUACGUACAAUAAAAGAACCAACUUGGUGCAUAAUUCAAGGGGUUUCGUAAAGUGUAACCAAAGCCACAGUCAAGAUAGAAACCCUUCCGUCACCGCCCGAGUUUCCCUCGUGCUGCCAACCCCUCCCCACACCUGCACUUAUUCUUAAGGGCACCCAGUGCCAUGUGGGCAGCAGCCAGGGAGCCCCAGGAGGAGCAGGAGCUGGAGAGGCAAGGAGAGGGCGCUCACCGCCAAGCGAGCCCUGAAAUGCCAGGGAGACCGGAAGAGCAGAGUCGGGGCUCAGGCGGGCUCCUCACAGGGCCCAGGCUGUUUCUAGAGGCGGGAAGUGGCUCCCGGGAACACAAAAGUCGUUUCCGGCUCUUUAUGAAAAAUAUGUUCGUUUCAGUCUCUUAAGGAAGAUUCUGCCAAGGGAAGCACAAAGGUGCCCACUUCUUGAAUCUGUUACGGUAUGAGGCGUGCAGGAAACGAGAGGCUCUCCGUCAAGAAGGCAGCUUCAGGCAGUUCACAGAUCUGAGCCUCAGUUUCUUCGUUUGUGAAACGGACUUCCUCCCAGGGCUCAAGCGUCAACUCACCCGUGGGGUCACUUGAACGUGGACUCCCUGACCCCAACCUCAGCCCCAGCGGCCUCCAUGAGGACCCCCUCUUUCCGGAGGCGGCAGGCAACGUGGAUCGUGCUUUCAGGGCAGGAAGUAUGCGAUCUGAAGAGCUGUUAACUCUGUUCAGAGUUGAGAGCCUGGGCUCUGGGACAAAGCGGUCCCGGGACAGUUUCCUCUGUAACAGAGCCUCCUUCACCUGGAAUCCAGAGGCCUCGUGGCCACCUGGCUGCAGCCAGGACUCUUCAAUCUCCCCUAUCUUUCAGAGAAACCCACCUGCGGUAGUGUGGGCGGGAGUGGUAUUCACAGGAAGUAGCUAAUUUCUCAGAAGGCGGGGGUUUUGACCCUCGAGUUUCCAUUCUCUAAAUGCCCCAGGGAGAGACUGCCAGCGUGGUACUCAUCAAGAAUCAUCCCGAUUUAAACUGAUAAAGAGUUACUGCCCGCAUUCCAGAACACUACUUCCUGUGAUUCUUGGAGCAAUCACACCAGGCAGGAAGGAUAGCUAUGAGCCCCACCUAACAGGCGAGAAAGUGAAGACUCAGAGGCAUCAUGUGACUCGCCUAAGGUCUCACAGGGCGGAGGGAGCAGAGAGCUGGGGCUGGGCAAGUCUAAUGAACACGUGACUCAGCCUGGCCAAUCAGAGGCUGCAAGGGGCUUCGGCGGGCACCACUGGGAAAGAGGGGUCUCCUUUGCUCUGGGAUGACUGGCCUGCAGCUGUGAUGCUGUCUGGCUGGGUGGCUUGUCCAGUGCUGCCUGGAGCCCUGCACUGAGCCCACGCCCACCCGGGGUGGACCGUGCUAGUGGGCAUCCCGGGUGGUCAACCACAGUCCUCUGGAUGCCCACUCAGACGGCUGGGUUCCCAUUCUGGGCUGGUCUCAUCGUCGCAUCCGCCUUUACUGUGAGCCCAGGGCUGCUGCUGGGUUCAAAUCUGAUAAGGGUUUCAGUGUUAAAACAGAAGGCAGGUUCCAAGAAGGCUUAAGCCUUACUUUUCUUACCAGUGGAAGGAAUUGGUUAAAUGAAUUCAGUGGCUUUUCAAUUUUAUGUUUUUAAGCAGAAUGCAAAACAAAACAAAAACACCCAGAUGAUACCCUUUACAGAACCCAAAACAUAAGAGAGUGAAGGAGGCCUUCUCUGCCAGGAAGGAGGAGGCAGGAGACCCCAUCCCUGCCCGCCCGGCCGCCUCCUACCUCCCACCCCACUUCUGAUGUGAACAUUGUCGGCCUCUGAGGAACACUCUGAAAAACGAGCAUCUUAAAAAAAAGAUUCAGAAUUAACAAUCAACUGCAUUCUAAGUUACAGGAUGAAGAGGCUGAGGACCACUGGAAAGGAGACCCACACAGAGGAAUCCAGGAGGCUCUGGGUCGUCGGAGGAGAGCGUGGUUCCCACCCCUGAGGGGCGCUUGGACAAGAAGCAUGGCGACACCCACUGUGCUGACCGGGGUGACUGGAGUCCCGCGGGCAUCCUGACCCUUUCUGGGCCUCCGCCCUCCCUGUCAGCUCACCUGCAGGGGCCCCUCGAGUGGAAUACUUGUGUGCUCUGCUAGGCGCCUGUGAGCUGUCUUUUCUGCGAGUUUGUGGGGACGGCUGAGGACAGGGCAGGCGGGGGCUGGUCUGAGUGGGGAGGAUGAAGUGUCAUGGGAAGCUGCCGGAUGACGACUGUCAGUUGGUGCGUGGCGUCUGGGGAGCCUCGUGGGCCUCAGUGACAUACAGCAGGCGCUUCCAGCAACUGCGCCACACACCCAGAAAGCUGAGGGAGGGGUGACGGGUCACACUCCUGCUCUGGAAAGUUUCAGCUGAAUCAGGGGCACCCUUCCCAGUGGAACACAGCUCACAAUGUCAACCUUCCGUUCAGAAGCGCUGAUACCACGAGUGUCCGCAUCACCGGGAAGAUCAUUUUGCAUCUAUCUAUUUAUAUUCUUUUAAUAUGGGGAAGUUUGAUAGCUUUUAUUCCAAGGCAUAGAAAAGGGAGUUAAGAAAAUACACAAUUUUUUUUCAAGUGAGAAUGUCAACAGUGACCACUGAAAGGGUAACCAACGUUCAUGUCUGAAAGACUGACCUUUGCAGAGUUUCGCUGGGGGGCAGAUGAAACAUUAAGGGAAGUGAACACACGUUACAAACAAGGACAUCCAGCGUUCGGGGCUCAGCCUUACAUGUCAACUUCACAGAGCUUUCCUGCUCUCAGGAGGGAACCCACAUGUUCCCGUGUGUAUCAGGUGCUUUGACAUAAGGGAUGUUCCAAAUCCAUGGUCGAUCUGGGGGAAAAAAGAUUCCAUGAGUAUAAUACUUAUCUGAUUACAGAAAAUCCACUCGCCUGAUAGGAUCAAGUCACUCACUGGCUGGAGUCGACAUAUCACGAGAGCCCUUUUCUGAACUGAGCCCUUUUGGGUAGGAGCUUGCAGUAAAGGUUCAUGUUAAGACACGGGAGCAUAAACCCCGGGGUAAAUGCUGGCUUGCCACUAAGGUUCACAAGUCCCUUCGCCUCUGGACCCCAGUUUCCUCAUCUGCACCUAAGACGUGGAGUUGGCAGGAGGUUCAAGGAGAUACUGCUGCUGUUGAGUAGCUCAGUCCUGUCCUGCUCUUUCGCAGCCCCAGGGACUGCAGCCCACCAGGCGCCUCUGUCCAUGGGAUUUCCCAGGCAAGAAUCCUGGAGUGAGUUGCUAUUUCCUUCUCCAGGGGAUCUUCCCAAGAGAGGAAACAACCCAUGUUCCUGGAUUGCAGGCGAUUCUUUACCACUGAGCCACCAGGGAAGCCCAUUAAAUGAGAUAAACGGAUGAGCCGUGCCAUUCUCCGUAACUGAACCUAUGUUGUUGAUGAGUCCUUAUUCCCUCUGAUAGUAGAAAACACUUGUAACGGGAUCUAUAAAUGAAAA
RNAcentral lists this long non-coding RNA (4993 nucleotides) under Ovis aries (sheep). RNAcentral's name for it is "lncRNA (ENSOARG00000026734.1)". The record is from RNAcentral. Lineage: Eukaryota; Metazoa; Chordata; Mammalia; Artiodactyla; Bovidae.